UACUAUGGCCAUGCCACCCUGAACAAGCCCGAUCCCGUCUGAUCUCAGAAGCUAAGCAGGGUCGGGCCUGGGUAGUACUUGAAUGGGAGACCACCUAGAAAGACCAGAUGCUGUAGGUG
RNAcentral lists this ribosomal RNA (119 nucleotides) under Pteropus alecto (black flying fox). Lineage: Eukaryota; Metazoa; Chordata; Mammalia; Chiroptera; Pteropodidae. The record is from RNAcentral.